RNAcentral lists this unclassified non-coding RNA (1730 nucleotides) under Penaeus monodon (black tiger shrimp). RNAcentral's name for it is "ectoine dioxygenase-like, transcript variant X1". The record is from RNAcentral. Lineage: Eukaryota; Metazoa; Arthropoda; Malacostraca; Decapoda; Penaeidae.
GAAACAGCCCCGAGAAGACUGUGGGAAGGCGUUUAAACCCAUUAAUAAAGAGGGUCAGAUGCCACAAGUCGACGCCACAGGGAAUCCGAACGCGCUUCUGCACAGUCACUUGUUCGCCGUCGCCAUGGCUGAUUCCGUGUUUACGUACGACGCCGCCUCGUGGUGUGUUACGCAAGAGAUGAAAGAUGCUUAUGACACCAACGGCUUCAUCCUCGUCAGAAACGCCUUCAGCCCCGAAGAAAUGAGGAAGGUGCGGGCGUUCGUGGAGGGCAGCGACGCCAUCCAAGAGCGAGCCUACAGCCGCGACGACGGCAAGAACCGACGGAGCCGCGUCACCCUGUGGAACCACCCGGGCAGAGACGUCCUCGGGGUGCUCGCCAGGACGCAGAGGGUGGCCGGAACCAUGGAGCAGGUGAUGGGCGGCCAGGAGGUGUACCACUACCACAGUAAACUCAUCAUGAAGGACGCACGUACGGGAGGCCGGCACGUCUGGCACCAAGACUAUGGAUACUGGUAUAAGAACGGCUGCCUGUAUCCGGACAUGGGCUCCGUGUUCAUCCCGAUCGACGACUGCACGAGGGAAAACGGCUGCCUGCAAGUCCUCAAGGGUUCUCACCGCCUCGGCCGCUUCGAUCACGUCAGGAUCGGCGAGCAGCUCGGGGCAGAGCCGGAGAGGGUGGAGAAGGCCAAGGAGCAGCUGGAACACCUCCACCUCGAGAUGAGUGCCGGAGACACCCUGUUCUUCCACUCCAACCUCCUCCACACCUCCGACCAGAACGCCUCCGAUCUCCGCCGCUGGGUGUUCAUCGUGGCGUUCAACCGGCGUUCAAAUAACCCUUAUAAGGAGCAUCACCACCCGCGCUACACGCCCAUGGCGAAGGUUCCGGACUCGGCGCUGCUUGAGUGUGGCGAAGGAAGCGACGACUCCAACGACCAGUGGUUCAUCAAACUCGACGAUGACAUUUCCAUUCGCGAGAGGGUUCACUGAGAGCUUCGAAGCCCAGAAUGAAAUGCGGUUCGAAGCCCACCAUGAAACGCGGUUCGAAGCCCAGAAUGAAAAGCGGUGCGAAGCCUAGGAUGAGAUGUUGUUCGAUGCUUAGAAUUGGAUGUUGUUCGAAGCCCAGAUUGAGGUGAGAAUCGAAGCCCGGAAUGAGAUAAGGUUCGAAGUCGAGAAAAGAGAUGAGGUUCGAGGCCUAGAACGGGAUGAAGUCAAGAUACUAUUCGAAGCCUUGAAUGAAAUUUAAGCCUAAAGUAUAGAUAAGUAAAUAGACUGAUAACUAGAUGAAUAUAGAAAGAUAGAUAAAUAAACAUACAGAUAGAUAUAGAUAUAACAAGGCUUUAAGUACACCUUUUUCCUUUUCUGGAGGAAGUCGAGAAUUAGAUAGGGUUCGAAAUGCGGUUCGUUCAAAAUCUUUGAAGUGAGAAUUAAACAUGGGCUUCGAACGAAAUGUAGUGGUUCUAUUGAGGUCCGAUAUGAGAUUCUUUCGAUUCUUUUGAUAUUUUCGACUUGGAAUUUACAGAAAUGUUGAAAAUAUAUUUUUUAAUAAUAAUAAUAAAUCUACGUUUUAUCUGACGCUUGCUUCGAACCGCGGAUCUAACAAUGAGAGAGAUUCGAAUCAUAUGAAAUGAAUAAAUUUGAGGCGAAGAAUAAUUUUACUUUUUCAUAUAGGUACGUUUUUGUUUUAUCUUUUUCGUAUCUUUUAGUUUUAUGAAUAAAUGAUGAUUGUUCA